This 1251-nucleotide unclassified non-coding RNA is filed under the name Leishmania donovani. RNAcentral describes it as "gene:LdHU3.28.0160(CDS-product:hypothetical_prote in_conserved)". The record is from RNAcentral. Lineage: Eukaryota; Euglenozoa; Kinetoplastea; Trypanosomatida; Trypanosomatidae.
CGGCGCUGCCGUCUUUGAAAUUAGCAGAUGCUAUACGCGCACUACGGUGAUCGACACAGUGCAGCGACACGCUGUUUUCAUUCGACACGGUUGUUUUGUGUGACGAAACAGCGGUAGUGUCGUGCCUGCCUGUGAGCAUUGCGGCGAGCAGAAGAGGUCGAGUAGGCGGGAGGAGAGGCGAACCCCCUUAUUCCCUGUAGGGGUAACGUAUCUGUUCGUUUUCUUCUCUUUUGCCGUUUGCCCAGCUGCGCGUCCGUUUGCGAUCCACGUGAGUAUAUUGCGAGACACCAUGCAUAUUUUUCGGGUUUCGGUCCCGCUCAUGUGCCUUUUCUACCACUUUAUCGUAGUGAUCAUCUCCUUUGCCAACUACAUCAUCUUUGUGAAACUGCAGGGCACGCCUCGAGCGCUGUGUGAUGCCUAUCUCGCCUUAUGCGUGGUCGAGACGGUAGCCUAUGGCGCCUGUGCUGGGCCGCUGUUUGUAUACUCGUACAAGUACGGCAAGACUUCCACUGCCCGCCUCGGUCGCCUUCUCGGCGGCAUCGUCGUUAUGUUUCUGCUGUCUUCACUCCCGAUGGUGAUUAUUGAGACGGCUCUGUUCUUGUCGUUUGAUUUAGAGCUUCGCCAUUCCUUGGAUGGAACGGUUUUCUUCUUGCAUGCCACCGCAGCAGUCUUUGGUGGCUUCACCACAUGGUUUGCCUACAUGCGCGUUGUGGCACGCUUCCUCCAACGCUGGCGAGGACCGGAGCGGCAGAUCGCCGACGACUCGGAGAUCCCACCGACCAAAGAUGUUCAGCUGCAUCUAGUCAGGCGUUCUCAGUGGCAACCGGAAACUAUUUAGCUGUACAGAAGAAGUACGUGGAGUAGAGGUGUGGGGGGGGGUGAGCAGCGGCGCUGGUUUCCUUGUCGUGCACGGUGUUGCGACGGAAAACUCAUGGCACGAGAUUUCCCACUGGGUGGUGUAAAGGGGACGGGGCGCUGCACAUCGCAGAUGCUGCAAAGGGACGGAGUGUCGGUGCACCCCGUAUCACAUCCAAGCGCAGUGCGUCCCUCAGGUGUACGCGCAUGGAGAUAGAUCUCGCUUUCUUUUUGGGUUUACGCACGCUUCGAUUUACAUGCACACGCAGACACAAACACAAAAAAAAAACGUGGGCCACGCAAUGUCAAGGUUGCCCAUACAACGUGAUUUCUUGGCCGUUUCUUUUUCUAUUGCUUGUGCUGUGUAGAUGGUUAGAGCCCGAGAGGCAACGCUCC